GGAAGUGGCUCAUUGGUGAAAGCAUCUGCCUUGUGUGCAGAAAGUCCUAGAUUUAAUCCCUGACAGUAUCUCCA
Molecule: non-coding RNA, 74 nt
Organism: Podarcis lilfordi (Lilford's wall lizard)
Lineage: Eukaryota; Metazoa; Chordata; Lepidosauria; Squamata; Lacertidae
Source: the annotation of a GenBank genome assembly